GAGUUUGAUCAUGGCUCAGGAUGAACGCUGGCGGCGUGCCUAAUACAUGCAAGUCGAACGAACAGAUAAGGAGCUUGCUCCUUUGACGUUAGCGGCGGACGGGUGAGUAACACGUGGGUAACCUACCUAUAAGACUGGAAUAACUCCGGGAAACCGGGGCUAAUGCCGGAUAACAUGUUGAACCGCAUGGUUCUACAGUGAAAGACGGUCUUGCUGUCACUUAUAGAUGGACCCGCGCCGUAUUAGCUAGUUGGUGGGUAACGGCCUACCAAGGCGACGAUACGUAGCCGACUUGAGAGGGUGAUCGGCCACACUGGAACUGAGACACGGUCCAGACUCCUACGGGAGGCAGCAGUAGGGAAUCUUCCGCAAUGGGCGAAAGCCUGACGGAGCAACGCCGCGUGAGUGAUGAAGGUCUUCGGAUCGUAAAGCUCUGUUGUUAGGGAAGACAAAUGUGUAAGUAACUGUGCAUAUCUUGACGGUACCUAACCAGAAAGCCACGGCUAACUACGUGGCAGCCGCCGCGGU
Molecule: ribosomal RNA, 528 nt
Filed under: uncultured microorganism
Description: bacterial SSU rRNA
Rfam family: Bacterial small subunit ribosomal RNA
Source: RNAcentral